Molecule: non-coding RNA, 336 nt
Organism: Vicia faba (fava bean)
Lineage: Eukaryota; Viridiplantae; Streptophyta; Magnoliopsida; Fabales; Fabaceae
Source: the annotation of a GenBank genome assembly
UGGGCCUUUUAUCUUUUUGUCAUAAUAAAAAAUAACAAUUUUGAACUACUACUAGAGGUUCACAUGAUUAACACAACCUUCAUUUCAAAAUGUUACUGUUACAUUAUGCUAAAAAUGGCUAAGCUAAAAUAUACCAAGAAAAAGAAAGACUGUUUUAGCACUAAUAGAGUUUCAUCCAAAACUGGCCAAAAUAGUAAAAACGGGAAUUACAAUUGGCAAAAUAUGGAAGACAGGUUGCUACACUCCAAAAACUACUAUGCUAUGUUAUUGCUGUCCACACAAGUCCAAACUACUGCUAUUUGCUGCUCUAAAAUCUUGCCUUGUCCCUAUCUUUGA